Molecule: long non-coding RNA, 1173 nt
Organism: Brassica napus (rape)
Lineage: Eukaryota; Viridiplantae; Streptophyta; Magnoliopsida; Brassicales; Brassicaceae
Exons: 5
Source: RefSeq, a predicted model, not a curated record
UGGACCAACUUUUUGAUACAAUUUUAUUAUCUGGCCCAAAUCUUCUUUCCGUUCAUUUGUAGCCCAUUUCUCCCCACCCUGAUCAGCCUGAUACGACGGAGAACGCCGUCGAUCUCCUCUGCUAAGACUUUACUGUUCCGCUUCCCCUCCCUUUGCUGCGUUUAAGAAACGUCCACACUAAUGGCUUUCAAUCAACGAUACCCACUACAUCAUCUUUAAUGCCUUAUUAUCAAGCUCUCUCAGGGGAUUAUAUAUAUGCAGAAGAUGAGAUAUUUUUCAUGUGCAUCGUCUUGCUCCUUUAAGAUUACUGAAACCAGUCAUCGGAAACAAAGUCGUCAAACUAAGCUCUGCUCAAAAGCUCCUCCAACGAAAAAGAUUCUUUCGGUAUCAUUUCUGGUUGGUGGUUCUGGAGUGAACAUGAGAAGCACAGCCAAGGUAAUCGUUUUGUUUUAUUUACACGUUGACAAAAAAAUUAGCAAAUUUCCUGUAAAAUAGAAUCAGAAUGACAAAGCUUACUGAUCUCUGUUUGGUUUACCUUUACACUCUCCCUGGACCUGCAACCCAACCAUCAAAAUUCCUAAAAAGGAACUAUGAUUGUUCCAACACUGGUGAAGCUCCUGGGAAAAACAGUGAAGUGAUCUUAUAGGACCAUACCAUUAUAGUGUUGGAGCUGACAAGUCUUUUGGAAGGGAAGGGACAUCGUUGAUUCUCACUUCAAGGAAUGUUUGUAUGCCGGAAUUAACACCAGUACAGAUCAAUGGAGAAGUCAUGCCUGGUCAGCGGAUCUAAUAAGGGACGCUGAAUGAUUUUUCUAGAUUACACCCAGUUCCGUAACACCGCUUAAGUAUCCGUACCAGAUGUAUGUUGCGUCAUUUAUCCCUACUACCAGAUAAAUGUAGCUGUCAUUUAGAGAAGAGAUUUUUUGGGAUUGAAUAAAUGUUCUGUCUCGAUCAACCUGCAAUGUAGCUACUCUGAUGGGUGAAUAUACUCAUAUACCCAAGAAUUCAGCUGCAUAACAUCUUCACCUAGGAACGAGAGAUUGUGAUUCUCAAGCUAUGGUUUCCAAGCCAUCUCUCUCGAUUCCAAGCUAUAAUUUAUUAAUCUUUAAUAUGUAAUGUUGCAAUGUCAUAUAUAACUUGAUGUCUGAGUUACAAAGGGUGAGUUUUGGCUUUG